Molecule: ribosomal RNA, 801 nt
Filed under: Diaporthe acaciarum
Lineage: Eukaryota; Fungi; Ascomycota; Sordariomycetes; Diaporthales; Diaporthaceae
Description: LSU rRNA
Rfam family: Eukaryotic large subunit ribosomal RNA
Source: RNAcentral
UGCCCUAGUAACGGCGAGUGAAGCGGCAACAGCUCAAAUUUGAAAUCUGGCUUCGGCCCGAGUUGUAAUUUGCAGAGGAUGUUUCUGGCGCGGUGCCUUCCGAGUUCCCUGGAACGGGACGCCACAGAGGGUGAGAGCCCCGUAUGGUCGGACACCAAGCCUGUGUGAAACUCCUUCGACGAGUCGAGUAGUUUGGGAAUGCUGCUCUAAAUGGGAGGUAAAUCUCUUCUAAAGCUAAAUACCGGCCAGAGACCGAUAGCGCACAAGUAGAGUGAUCGAAAGAUGAAAAGCACCUUGAAAAGGGGGUUAAAUAGUACGUGAAAUUGUUGAAAGGGAAGCACUUAUGACCAGACUUGGGCCGGGCGGCUCAUCAGGGGUUCUCCCCUGUGCACUCCGCCCGGCACAGGCCAGCAUCGGUUUUCGCGGGGGGAUAAGACCGGCGGGAACGUAGCACCCUCCGGGGUGUGUUAUAGCCCACCGGACGAUACCCUCGCGGGGACCGAGGUCCGCGCUCCGCAAGGAUGCUGGCGUAAUGGUCAUCAGUGACCCGUCUUGAAACACGGACCAAGGAGUCGUCCAUUAGAGCGAGCGUUUGGGUGUAAAACCCGCACGCGUAAUGAAAGUGAACGCAGGUGAGAGCUUCGGCGCAUCAUCGACCGAUCCUGAUGUUCUCGGAAGGAUUUGAGUAAGAGUUUUAACGGACGGACCCGAAAGACAGUGAACUAUGCUUGAAUAGGGUGAAGCCAGAGGAAACUCUGGUGGAGGCUCGCAGCGGUUCUGACGUGCAAAUCGAUCGUCAAA